Molecule: ribosomal RNA, 567 nt
Filed under: uncultured Glomeromycotina
Lineage: Eukaryota; Fungi; Glomeromycota
Description: SSU rRNA
Rfam family: Eukaryotic small subunit ribosomal RNA
Source: RNAcentral
UUGGAGGGCAAGUCUGGUGCCAGCAGCCGCGGUAAUUCCAGCUCCAAUAGCGUAUAUUAAAGUUGUUGCAGUUAAAAAGCUCGUAGUUGAAUUUCGGGGUCAAUAAGUUGGUCGUGCCAAUGGUAUGCACUGGCUUUAUUGAUUCCUACCUCUUGACGAACUGUGAUGCCAUUAAUUUGGUGUCGCAAGGAAUCAGGACUGUUACCUUGAAAAAAUUAGAGUGUUUAAAGCAGGCUUACGCUUGAAUACAUUAGCAUGGAAUAAUGAAAUAGGACGUUUGAACCUAUUUUGUUGGUUUCUAGGAUCGACGUAAUGAUUAAUAGGGAUAGUUGGGGGCAUUAGUAUUCAAUUGUCAGAGGUGAAAUUCUUGGAUUUAUUGAAGACUAACUACUGCGAAAGCAUUUGCCAAGGAUGUUUUCAUUAAUCAAGAACGAAAGUUAGGGGAUCGAAGACGAUCAGAUACCGUCGUAGUCUUAACCAUAAACUAUGCCGACUAGGGAUCGGAUGAUGUUAAUUUUUUUUAAUGACUCAUUCGGCGCCUUACGGGAAACCAAAGUGUUUGGGUUC